UACGUAGGGUGCAAGCGUUAAUCGGAAUUACUGGGCGUAAAGCGUGCGCAGGCGGUUUUGUAAGUCUGUCGUGAAAUCCCCGGGCUCAACCUGGGAAUUGCGAUGGAGACUGCAUCGCUAGAGUAUGGCAGAGGGGGGUGGAAUUCCACGUGUAGCAGUGAAAUGCGUAGAGAUGUGGAGGAACACCGAUGGCGAAGGCAGCCCCCUGGGCCAAUACUGACGCUCAUGCACGAAAGCGUGGGGAGCAAACAGG
RNAcentral lists this ribosomal RNA (253 nucleotides) under uncultured bacterium. Its description in RNAcentral is "partial 16S ribosomal RNA". It matches the Rfam family "Bacterial small subunit ribosomal RNA", at positions 524 to 776 of the family's 1533-position model. The record is from RNAcentral.